AACGCUACAAGUCGAUAAUGGAUGCCUUGGGCUGUUGUGCCGAAGAAGGACGUAGUUGGCAGCGAUAUUCGUCGGGGAGGAGUCAACAUCCUGCGAUCCGGCGGUUUCCGAAUGGGGAAACCCGCGCAUUUAUGCGCAGCGUACUAUGAAGGCAAUCGAAAGAUUGAGGGUAGUAGUACUGUAGGGCACCUCCUGAACUGAAACAUCUAAGUAGGGAGAGGAAAAGAAAUCGAAUGAGAUUCCGCAAGUAGCGGCGAGCGAAAACGGAAGAGUCUAAACCAUUCCGCAAGGAGUGGGGUUGUGGGGCUCCUAAUAUGGGAGAAACAUGGAUAGCAGAACGUGCCGGAAUGCACGACCAGAGAGAGUGAAAGUCUCGUAUGCAAAAUCUAUGUUUCCUCUAUGGAGUUCCCAAGUACCAUGGAGCACGAAGGCUUUGUGGGAAGCUGGGGGAACCAUCCUCCAAGACUAAACACACAAACAGCACCGAUAGUGAACGAGUACCGUGAGGGAAAGGUGAAAAGCACCCCGGAAGGGGAAUGAAAUAGUACCUGAAAUUGUCGACUAACAAACAGCGAGAGCCGCCGUAAGGUGGGUGAUCGCGUGCCUAUUGAAGAAUGAGCCGGUGAGUUAUUUCGAUGUGCGUAGCUUAACCAAGUCAACCUUGGGGAGGCGUAGGGAAACCGAGUCCGAAUAGGGCGAUUUGUACAUCGUAAUAGACCCGAAACCGGGUGAGCUAACCAUGAGCAGGGUGAGUUCCGGAGAAAUCCGGAAGGAGGCCCGAACUCGUCAGAGUUACAAAUCUGUGAGAUGACUUGUGGUUAGGGGUAAUAUGCCUAUCGAACCCGGAGAUAGCUGGUUCUCCCUGAAAUAUAUUUAGGUAUAGCGUCUGGUGAAGUGGUACUGGGGUAGAGCACUCACAGAAACGCCAAGCGAAAGCGAGGUCUUUCUAUGAAACUCCGAAUACAGAUACCGCUAUCCAGGCAGUCAGUCAUGCGGGGCUAAGCUCGUGUGGCUAAAGGGAAACAUCCCAUGACUUUCGUCUAAGGCCUCUCAGUCUAUGCUAAGUGGUUAAUGAGGUCGCGGUUUUAAGACACCCAGGAAGUUGGCUUAGAAGCAGCCACCUUUUAAAGAUAGCGUAACAGCUCACUGGAUGAAAACUGCGGCGCAGAAAAUGAUCGAGGCUCAAGCAUAGCGCCGAAGACAGAGAUUUAUUUCAGUAUUUAUAUUGAAGUGAGUGGUAAGGGAGCGUUCUAUUUGCAGUGAAGCAUAUGGCUUAAGCCAGUGUGGAGCGGAUAGAAGUGAGAAUGCCGGCAUGAGUAGCGUUAAAAGGUGAGAAUCCUUUUUGCCGAAUGCGCAAGGUUUCCGAAGCAACGUUCGUCGUCUUCGGGUAAGUCGGAUCUAAGGCGAGGCCACUCUAUGGUGGCGUAGCUCGAUGUAUAACGGGUUGAUAUUCCCGUACCGAUUGUGUGUUGAUUAAGACUCAAAGGGGUAACGAAGGGGAAUAGGUGUGCCGGCUGAAAUGCCGCUAAGUUCCAAAGUAGUGAGAAUUGGUAAAUCCGUUUUCAUGUUUAACUAAAGGAACGAUGGGGAGUCCAAGGAGCAAUCUGCGGGCAACGUACAUAGUUUCGCUUCCAAGAAAAGCCUCGUUGAGGAACACAUAGUCGUCCGUACCGCAAACCGACACUGGUGCGCUGGUGUUAGAGUACCAAGGCAAGCGAGUGAGAGUAGUUCAAGGAACUCGGCAACAAAAGCUGGGCGUAACUUUUUGGAGAUGCCCUACCCGGAUCGUAUCCGGGUCACAGUAAAUGAUGCUAUGCAACUGUUUAACUAAAACACAGGUCUCUGCGAAGCCGAAAGGCAACGUAUAGGGGCUGACACCUGCCCAGUGCCGGUAAGUUAAAAAUGGUUGGUGACCUUCGCAAGUUGGAAGCUAGCUUUUUAAGCUCCGGUGAACGGCAGCAGUAACUAUAACUGUUCUAUGGUAGCGAAAUUCCUUGUCGGGCAAGUUCCGACCCGCACGAAAGGUAGAAUGACAUAGCAACUGUCUUGAACUAUAACUCGGCGAAAUUGAAAUGGCUGUGAAGAUGCGGCCUACCCACACUUGGACAAAAAGACCCCGUGAAGCUUUACUGUAAUUUGGCACUGAAGACAUUAUUUUGACUGUCGAGCAUAGGAGGGAGCCUUCGGGCAACAGUGGAAUACCUCUCUUCGAAAUGAUGAAAUCUUACUUAUUCCAGCAUAAAAAUCCUGGAACAGAACACUGUCAGAUGGGCAGUUUAACUGGGGAGGUUGCCUCCAAAAAUGUAACGGAGGCGUACAAAGGUUGGCUAACCCUGAAUGGAAACCAGGGCGUGUCGUGCAAUCGCGGCAAGCCAGCUUAACUGCGAGACGUACAGGUCGAGCAGAUACGAAAGUAGGUGAUAGUGAUCCUCGCAUCCCUCGUGGGAGGGAGCGGGCUUAACGGAUAAAAGCUACUCCGGGGAUAACAGGCUGAUCGCUUCCGAGCGUCCACAGCGACGAGGCGGUUUGGCACCUCGAUGUCGGCUCAUCCUAUCCUGGGGGUGGAGAAGCUCCCAAGGGUCCGGCUGUUCGCCGGUUAAAAGGGUACGCGAGCUGGGUUCAGAACGUCGUAAGACAGUAGACCGUGAUGAGAUAGACUCCAUCACAAAGAGCUGUCGGUUUUCCGAUGUUUUAUUACGAACCCCAUUGAGAAUAAUAAAAACUGUUAUAAAAAACGAAAACACCCCGCCAUCAUUAUAUUUAUGAUGUCGGCGGGGGAAAUCUGACUAUUUGCUGGAAACUCUGAGUAUCCGGUGGUACUCCGAUCAUAUCGGAGUAAUAAUCCAUCCGGUGCAGACAAUCAGCAGGGAAGGCUUUUUUCCACAAAAUGUGGAGGAGAGAACCCUCAGAGACUACAUGUCAGACGGAGAUAACUAU
Molecule: ribosomal RNA, 2937 nt
Filed under: Candidatus Gottesmanbacteria bacterium UBA5942
Lineage: Bacteria; Candidatus Gottesmaniibacteriota
Also listed under: 2 other names
Description: bacterial LSU rRNA
Rfam family: Bacterial large subunit ribosomal RNA
Source: RNAcentral